RNAcentral lists this ribosomal RNA (253 nucleotides) under uncultured bacterium. RNAcentral's name for it is "partial 16S ribosomal RNA". It matches the Rfam family "Bacterial small subunit ribosomal RNA", at positions 524 to 776 of the family's 1533-position model. The record is from RNAcentral.
UACGUAGGUGACAAGCGUUGUCCGGAUUUACUGGGCGUAAAGAGCGCGCAGGCGGUCGUUCAAGUCGAGUGUGAAAGCCCCCGGCUCAACUGGGGAGGGUCAUUCGAUACUGAUCGACUCGAAGGCAGGAGAGGGAAGUGGAAUUCCCGGUGUAGUGGUGAAAUGCGUAGAUAUCGGGAGGAACACCCGUGGCGAAGGCGGUUCUCUGGGACGGUACUGACGCUGAGACGCGAAAGCGUGGGGAGCGAACAGG